RNAcentral lists this unclassified non-coding RNA (308 nucleotides) under Clitopilus sp. RNAcentral's name for it is "partial internal transcribed spacer region". The stretch from base 1 to 46 matches the Rfam family "Eukaryotic small subunit ribosomal RNA", at positions 1786 to 1831 of the family's 1831-position model. The record is from RNAcentral. Lineage: Eukaryota; Fungi; Basidiomycota; Agaricomycetes; Agaricales; Entolomataceae.
AAGUCGUAACAAGGUUUCCGUAGGUGAACCUGCGGAAGGAUCAUUAUUGAAUAAACUUGGUCAAGCUGUUGCUGGCCCUUCGGGGCAUGUGCACGCUUGCCACCAAUUUUAACCACCUGUGCACCUUUUGUAGAUUGGAAACGUUUCUCGAGGCAACUCGGAUUGAGGACUGCUGUGCGCAAGCCAGCUGUUCUUGUGUUUCUCAAUCUAUGUUUUCAUAUACUCCUAAUGUAUGUAUCAGAAUGUAUUGUUAGGCCUCUGUGCCUUUAAAUCAAAUACAACUUUCAACAACGGAUCUCUUGGCUCUC